GACAGAGGUGCCGAGCGUUAGGCGGAAUCACUGGGCUUAAAGCGUGUGUAGGUGGAUGUCUAAGUACCUUGUGAAAUCCCACGGCUUAACCGGGGAACUGCGUCUGAUACUGGAUGGCUUGAGGUUGGGAGAGGGAUGCGGAAUUCCAGGUGUAGCGGUGAAAUGCGUAGAUAUCUGGAGGAACACCGGUGGCGAAGGCGGCAUCCUGGACCAAUUCUGACACUGAGGAGCGAAAGCCAGGGGAGCAAACGGG
RNAcentral lists this ribosomal RNA (253 nucleotides) under uncultured bacterium. RNAcentral's name for it is "partial 16S ribosomal RNA". It matches the Rfam family "Bacterial small subunit ribosomal RNA", at positions 524 to 776 of the family's 1533-position model. The record is from RNAcentral.